UUUGCUUCAGGGUAUACUCUUGGG
This 24-nucleotide non-coding RNA is filed under the name Cricetulus griseus (Chinese hamster). The record is from RNAcentral. Lineage: Eukaryota; Metazoa; Chordata; Mammalia; Rodentia; Cricetidae.